RNAcentral lists this ribosomal RNA (2904 nucleotides) under Escherichia coli O39:H21. RNAcentral describes it as "23S ribosomal RNA". It matches the Rfam family "Bacterial large subunit ribosomal RNA". Lineage: Bacteria; Pseudomonadati; Pseudomonadota; Gammaproteobacteria; Enterobacterales; Enterobacteriaceae. The record is from RNAcentral.
GGUUAAGCGACUAAGCGUACACGGUGGAUGCCCUGGCAGUCAGAGGCGAUGAAGGACGUGCUAAUCUGCGAUAAGCGUCGGUAAGGUGAUAUGAACCGUUAUAACCGGCGAUUUCCGAAUGGGGAAACCCAGUGUGUUUCGACACACUAUCAUUAACUGAAUCCAUAGGUUAAUGAGGCGAACCGGGGGAACUGAAACAUCUAAGUACCCCGAGGAAAAGAAAUCAACCGAGAUUCCCCCAGUAGCGGCGAGCGAACGGGGAGCAGCCCAGAGCCUGAAUCAGUGUGUGUGUUAGUGGAAGCGUCUGGAAAGGCGCGCGAUACAGGGUGACAGCCCCGUACACAAAAAUGCACAUGCUGUGAGCUCGAUGAGUAGGGCGGGACACGUGGUAUCCUGUCUGAAUAUGGGGGGACCAUCCUCCAAGGCUAAAUACUCCUGACUGACCGAUAGUGAACCAGUACCGUGAGGGAAAGGCGAAAAGAACCCCGGCGAGGGGAGUGAAAAAGAACCUGAAACCGUGUACGUACAAGCAGUGGGAGCACGCUUAGGCGUGUGACUGCGUACCUUUUGUAUAAUGGGUCAGCGACUUAUAUUCUGUAGCAAGGUUAACCGAAUAGGGGAGCCGAAGGGAAACCGAGUCUUAACUGGGCGUUAAGUUGCAGGGUAUAGACCCGAAACCCGGUGAUCUAGCCAUGGGCAGGUUGAAGGUUGGGUAACACUAACUGGAGGACCGAACCGACUAAUGUUGAAAAAUUAGCGGAUGACUUGUGGCUGGGGGUGAAAGGCCAAUCAAACCGGGAGAUAGCUGGUUCUCCCCGAAAGCUAUUUAGGUAGCGCCUCGUGAAUUCAUCUCCGGGGGUAGAGCACUGUUUCGGCAAGGGGGUCAUCCCGACUUACCAACCCGAUGCAAACUGCGAAUACCGGAGAAUGUUAUCACGGGAGACACACGGCGGGUGCUAACGUCCGUCGUGAAGAGGGAAACAACCCAGACCGCCAGCUAAGGUCCCAAAGUCAUGGUUAAGUGGGAAACGAUGUGGGAAGGCCCAGACAGCCAGGAUGUUGGCUUAGAAGCAGCCAUCAUUUAAAGAAAGCGUAAUAGCUCACUGGUCGAGUCGGCCUGCGCGGAAGAUGUAACGGGGCUAAACCAUGCACCGAAGCUGCGGCAGCGACGCUUAUGCGUUGUUGGGUAGGGGAGCGUUCUGUAAGCCUGCGAAGGUGUGCUGUGAGGCAUGCUGGAGGUAUCAGAAGUGCGAAUGCUGACAUAAGUAACGAUAAAGCGGGUGAAAAGCCCGCUCGCCGGAAGACCAAGGGUUCCUGUCCAACGUUAAUCGGGGCAGGGUGAGUCGACCCCUAAGGCGAGGCCGAAAGGCGUAGUCGAUGGGAAACAGGUUAAUAUUCCUGUACUUGGUGUUACUGCGAAGGGGGGACGGAGAAGGCUAUGUUGGCCGGGCGACGGUUGUCCCGGUUUAAGCGUGUAGGCUGGUUUUCCAGGCAAAUCCGGAAAAUCAAGGCUGAGGCGUGAUGACGAGGCACUACGGUGCUGAAGCAACAAAUGCCCUGCUUCCAGGAAAAGCCUCUAAGCAUCAGGUAACAUCAAAUCGUACCCCAAACCGACACAGGUGGUCAGGUAGAGAAUACCAAGGCGCUUGAGAGAACUCGGGUGAAGGAACUAGGCAAAAUGGUGCCGUAACUUCGGGAGAAGGCACGCUGAUAUGUAGGUGAAGCGACUUGCUCGUGGAGCUGAAAUCAGUCGAAGAUACCAGCUGGCUGCAACUGUUUAUUAAAAACACAGCACUGUGCAAACACGAAAGUGGACGUAUACGGUGUGACGCCUGCCCGGUGCCGGAAGGUUAAUUGAUGGGGUUAGCGCAAGCGAAGCUCUUGAUCGAAGCCCCGGUAAACGGCGGCCGUAACUAUAACGGUCCUAAGGUAGCGAAAUUCCUUGUCGGGUAAGUUCCGACCUGCACGAAUGGCGUAAUGAUGGCCAGGCUGUCUCCACCCGAGACUCAGUGAAAUUGAACUCGCUGUGAAGAUGCAGUGUACCCGCGGCAAGACGGAAAGACCCCGUGAACCUUUACUAUAGCUUGACACUGAACAUUGAGCCUUGAUGUGUAGGAUAGGUGGGAGGCUUUGAAGUGUGGACGCCAGUCUGCAUGGAGCCGACCUUGAAAUACCACCCUUUAAUGUUUGAUGUUCUAACGUUGACCCGUAAUCCGGGUUGCGGACAGUGUCUGGUGGGUAGUUUGACUGGGGCGGUCUCCUCCUAAAGAGUAACGGAGGAGCACGAAGGUUGGCUAAUCCUGGUCGGACAUCAGGAGGUUAGUGCAAUGGCAUAAGCCAGCUUGACUGCGAGCGUGACGGCGCGAGCAGGUGCGAAAGCAGGUCAUAGUGAUCCGGUGGUUCUGAAUGGAAGGGCCAUCGCUCAACGGAUAAAAGGUACUCCGGGGAUAACAGGCUGAUACCGCCCAAGAGUUCAUAUCGACGGCGGUGUUUGGCACCUCGAUGUCGGCUCAUCACAUCCUGGGGCUGAAGUAGGUCCCAAGGGUAUGGCUGUUCGCCAUUUAAAGUGGUACGCGAGCUGGGUUUAGAACGUCGUGAGACAGUUCGGUCCCUAUCUGCCGUGGGCGCUGGAGAAUUGAGGGGGGCUGCUCCUAGUACGAGAGGACCGGAGUGGACGCAUCACUGGUGUUCGGGUUGUCAUGCCAAUGGCACUGCCCGGUAGCUAAAUGCGGAAGAGAUAAGUGCUGAAAGCAUCUAAGCACGAAACUUGCCCCGAGAUGAGUUCUCCCUGACUCCUUGAGAGUCCUGAAGGAACGUUGAAGACGACGACGUUGAUAGGCCGGGUGUGUAAGCGCAGCGAUGCGUUGAGCUAACCGGUACUAAUGAACCGUGAGGCUUAACCUU